UGGGGAAUUUUGGACAAUGGGCGAAAGCCUGAUCCAGCAAUGCCGCGUGUGUGAAGAAGGCCUUCGGGUUGUAAAGCACUUUUGUCCGGAAAGAAAUCCUUGGCUCUAAUACAGUCGGGGGAUGACGGUACCGGAAGAAUAAGCACCGGCUAACUACGUGCCAGCAGCCGCGGUAAUACGUAGGGUGCAAGCGUUAAUCGGAAUUACUGGGCGUAAAGCGUGCGCAGGCGGUUUGCUAAGACCGAUGUGAAAUCCCCGGGCUCAACCUGGGAACUGCAUUGGUGACUGGCAGGCUAGAGUAUGGCAGAGGGGGGUAGAAUUCCACGUGUAGCAGUGAAAUGCGUAGAGAUGUGGAGGAAUACCGAUGGCGAAGGCAGCCCCCUGGGCCAAUACUGACGCUCAUGCACGAAAAGCGUGGGGAGCAAACAGGAUUAGAUACCCUGGUAGUCCACGCCCUAAAACGAUGUCAACUAGUUGUUGGGGAUUCAUUUCCUUAGUAACGUAGCUAACGCGUGAAGUUGACCGCCUGGGGGAGUACGGUCGCAAGAUUAAAACUUAAAUGAAUUGACGGGGUCAUAGCUGUUUCCU
RNAcentral lists this ribosomal RNA (588 nucleotides) under uncultured bacterium. RNAcentral describes it as "partial 16S ribosomal RNA". It matches the Rfam family "Bacterial small subunit ribosomal RNA", at positions 355 to 1375 of the family's 1533-position model. The record is from RNAcentral.